Long non-coding RNA from Lolium perenne, 5442 nucleotides. RefSeq lists it as uncharacterized. Lineage: Eukaryota; Viridiplantae; Streptophyta; Magnoliopsida; Poales; Poaceae. The record is from RefSeq and is a predicted model, not a curated record.
CCGCACUCAACCACUCCCCCUCCUCCUUUUAACCCCAUCCGCGUGCCUGGAAACCCUAGCCUCUCUCCCAUCCACGCCGCCGCCACCUACCUUCCUCCACCCUUCCUCUUUUUCUCUUCUCUGUGAGCAAACGAAGGGAAAACCCCACAGCACCGCCACUGCCCCGCCAUGGCGCCACCGCUCCACACCUCCCCUCGCCGUUCUGAGGGCAUCGUUCGAUGCGCCUCGUCAUCCUCUACCUCCUGGUGCGAGGAAUCGUCCCGAGAGGCCCCGAGUUGAGCGCAAGGUCGCCGAUUCUUCGCGCCGGACUUCAUGCUUCCUCUCCGAUUCCGGUCGCCCUCGUCCUCCUCCGGCCACACCGAGCACACCUCCAGCUUCCCCAUGUUCAGGCGCACCCCCGACGCCAUCUCGCCCAUCCUCGUUCGUCCCAUCUCCAUCGUUCCCGAGCUCGUCUGCGAGCUCCGCCAUGGGUGUUCUUCCUAGUGAUUCCGCGGUGGUCUGUUCAAAAGGAGACGCGCUCCGAUCCGUUCAACAGCUGUACCACAACACAGUGAUCUCGCAGCCAGAGAUCCUUCUUUACCUUCGGAGCCCUUCUGAAUUCAACAGCUACAAGUAGCCAAGCUGAUCGGCAGAUGGGCCUCAGCCAAGGUCUAUCCGGCGCAGCUCCUCGCCCGCGCAGCCCGUAGCUCCCCAUCACCGCUUGCACGCCGAACUGGGCCGGCCCACGCGCGCCAGACCUUCCUCCCGCCGGCCAGCCUUUGCUUCUUUCUGGAUAGGAUCACGAAGUGUUGAUGUGAGAUACGAUGAGUUCUCCGACAAGUUCUUCUGCAGCUUUUCACAGGCGAGCCCUCUCUCUUCACCUAUUAUACACUCUCCCUCGCAUUGCUAUCCUUAUGUUGCGCUUCUUUAUCGAGUCACGUGUCCUAUUCCACUUGUUUACCAUAAUAAUCAUAUAUGUAUCAUUCCUUACCCAUAGCCGUUGCUUGAUGUUUGAGCCUUGCGAGUCGUAGGCGUGUUUAGGCUCUGUUGUUUAUCUCGAUCUGUUAUCGGGAUAUGAUGGGUUGUUGGGAGGUUAUCACAUGCUAUAUUAGUUGUUGGAGAUACACCUGCUUUACUUAAUUGUUAAAAACUUAAAUUGUAAGCAGAGGCAUCUGUGAGCCCUUUGCGAAAGCAUCGGAACUUUGACUCGCUAAUGUCCCCUAGGACCCGAGUUCUUGUUAUCUGUUCCGAGAUUGAGCGCUCUACCCAUGCGUGGGGACGAUUAUUGGGACCCCCCCUCACCCAUUACCUUUUCUCAAGUUAGUUGAAAAGGGGGCCACAACCUUGGUUUUAUUUUCCUAUGCCAUGUAUGCCAUGCUUUACUUACUGUUGCCUUCGGGUGUUUAUAUUCUGUACUGUACCCCUCGGGACGUUUAGCGAAGCGUGUGGUUUGCACGCCUAGCUGCCGACGCAAACCCUGAGUCCAUAUCGGAGUACGGCCGAACUUCGUCACGGGGAGCUUAGUCGGGUGGCCCCCUAGACUUUCUUGUUGAACUGGGAAUGGUCUUGUUGUGAGACAUCCACCUGUCGUAAGUGGGUCGAGCACGCGUAUGGUUACAUUUGGGCAACCCCUGCAGGGUGUACAUCUUAUCGAUAAGCCGUGUCCGCGGUUAUGGACGACUUGGAAUUGUAAAGCUUGAUCAUAGAACAACUUACACUGUUAUCUUAUUGCUAAUAAUCUGCUAAUAACUUGCGUAGUAAUAUAGCAUUACUACAACCGACACCUAUCUGUUACCUUAUGCGCUCUCUCACCUUCUCUGAUUAGACGAAUGUUGUAGAGUGUCUCUAUAGGUUUUUAGUGCUUGCGCUGCCGCUUAACCCCACCAUAUUGCCUAUGACGUUCCUCUUGCGUCCUCUAAGUCCCCUACGUGCCUCAAGUACAAAGGACGACUGGUUGACGAAUGCUUAUACGUCUUGAAGUCUUGUUAAGUACGAACCCGUACUUAUUGCUGCUUCUACGUGAUAUAACCGGGCAGGUAUGAAGAUAUGUUCGAAGAAGACGACGUUAGCAAGGUUACCCUUCCGGCUUGGCCUGGGCAGGGUUAUGGACGCCACUGGUUAUCUUCAGGACUCUUAGUCCAAUUUGUAUCUUGUCCGUACUCGGAUGUAUUCGAUCUUCGGUAUGAUUUGGAUCUUUGUAUUGUAUAUUCGUAUCUUGACUCGUUGGAGUCGUUGUUGUAAUAUAUGUAUCUUGUGGGCUCUAUUGUAAUCCUGUUGUAAUGUUACCGCUCGUGUUAAUUCCUCUGGCAUCACGUGUGUGAUUCUUCGCGCACGUCGUGUCGGAGGGCGUCUCUGAAUUGAUAUCGUGCGGAUUUCGGUGGGAUUGCUGGAAUCCUCAGGAUACCGGUUCCGGGGCGUCACAAGCGGCCUCAAGAUGGAGCUCAAGGUCAAGCUCAAGGUCUACCUCAACGUGAAGAAGGGCCGCUACCCGAGAAGGAUCAAGCCAAGGCUCCCGUUGCGGAGAAAUCAAGUGAGAAGAAGGGGAGGAGAAGAAGAUGCUACAUAUGCCGUGAGAAGGGCCACAUCUCCUCCUUUUGCACAAGUGGUAACUCAUCCAACCCUAUCUUGAUCCAUGGUGCUUACUCUCUACAUAAGGAUAAGGUUGGCGAUGUGUUUGCCAAAUAUGUUGGCACUCAAAGUGGUUUCGCACAAAGAACCAUUUGGGUUGCCAAGCCUAUUGCGACUAACUUCUUAGGACCCAACUUAGUUGGGGACCAACAAGCCAAAACUUGAUCAAUAGGUACAAGUGGAGGGCAUGGAGGCUUGACUAGUUCAUGAAGACUUAGGGGAUCUUCAUCAUUUUCACUUCCUCAAGUCAAGUUGUAUUCCUCUUAUCCUUUACCCAUGCUCCUCCUUGCGGUAACGAGUCCUCAACUCCUUUACAUUGAAAGUUACUCGCUCCCCUUUUACAUGUGUUGGUUUUGUGCCUUGCAUGUGAUUGUGUAUGUUGUGCUUCCUACUUGCUUAUCUUGUUUCUUUUUUAUGUUGGGUGGCACACCAUGUACAAUUGUUCUUUGUUGAGCCUAUUGCAUCUUGUUCAUAUCUUAGUUGUUGGCUCAUGUGAGAAAUUAAUGGACUAUCCCAUUUUGGGGGAGUGAUAUGCUCCGUGCAUUUCACAAUCCUAAAAUGUGUGACAUGAUGAAUUAAAAUCCUAUAAUGUCCAUUAAUUAUCUCACUUGGUUCCUUUUUGCCUCUUGCACGGAAAAUGUCUUUAUCACAUUAUGGGGGAGUAUUGUGCCGUGUGCAUUUUACAAGCCUAGAAAAUGUGAACAUUUGAGGUUGUGUCACAUAGAGUUGAUAUUAUAGACUAUCUUGUUCCUAUGUGACAUGUGUGCUCAAACAAAUCCCACUUUACCAUUUGCCUUCUUGUUGUGAAGAUAAUCUUGGGCAUACUCACAAACUACAUAUGGAUAUUUCCUAUACACCUCUUGUCCUUUGACAAUUGGUAAUAAAUUGUGUAGUAUUGUGCCCGAUCAUCCUCACACUUGGCUCAUGUGCUCAAUUGCUUCAUUUCUUGCCAAGAAUUUGUCCUUGUGGGUUAGACUCCCAUUUGUCUUCCUUGCUUCUUUUGGAUCUCCUUAUUUCUCUUGAACCUUGUUGGUGUUUCGACAAACAUGAUUGAGCAAAUCCCGCAUUUGUGCAUUUUGUAUUCAAAUGCAACAUUCUAAAUAGUGCACUAAUUUUGGGGGAGCUCUCCUAUGUUUGCUAGAACACUCCCUUGAUUCAAGAAUUUGAUCUUGGAAGACAAACCCUUUCUUUUCGGUACUUUUGUGCCAUCAUGAAAAGUGCUGAGGGUUUGGUUUAUUUUAAACCUUGCUUUCUUUGGGAGUGAGUUAUCUCAUUUCUUAUAUUUGGCUUAGAUUCUUAAAAUGAGAUAAGUCCUUGAGCAUGCUUGUUUUGGAUAUCUUGCUCUAUCUUUCUUGUACCUAUCUUGUGUGUGCAUGUUUCUUUGUGAAUAAAUGUCUUCGUGAUGUUGUCCACUUAGAGAAACUUAUACACAUAAGAAAUGGUGCAUAUCUUUUGAUAUCCCUCUUUGUUGGAGUCUAUUCCUUCAUUCUUAUUUCACUCUUUAAUGACUUCACAAAGAACUUGGCUAUGAGUGCUCAUUUUAUAUCAUUUGCAUCUUCAAGCACUCAUAGUUGAUUUUGGCACAUGCUUUGAGUGGUUUUGUGGGAGUAAUGAUGCCAUGAUUGUGCAUCUUAUUCUUCAAUGUAAAUUGUUUAUCUUGUGCACAAACUUUGGCGAGCUUCCACAUAUUACUUAGAGCAUAGUGUUGGUUCAUUGAUUGCUUGCUUCAUAGUGUCUCACCUUCAUAUCCUCUUGCAAUCUUUGAUCCUCAAUAUAGUUUGAUUUCCUCCAAAUAUUCGUCAUUGAAUAUGUGCAUUUGAUUUCACUCACAAUUAUGAGAAAUGCACAACUUAUGGAGGAACGCUCACUAUAUUGGCCUUUCAAACCUUUCGUCCAUUUUGGCAACCGAUGCCAACGGGGGAGAAGUUUGGAGGGUUUAAGGGAAUUGCUUUUGAUUGGUUCUUAAGCAUAUUGCCUUUCAUGCCUUGCAUUCAUUGCUUUGCAUGGUUGAAUAUUUAGAGGAUACUCCGCUAGGCUUUAAUUGCCGGUAUAUGCAAUGAAAUUCAAGUUCAUUCACACAUGCAUAUAUUAUGGGGGAGUUUGUUCUAAAUAUUCAACUUGGGUUGUUCGCUAAAUUCCAUAUCUAAACCCUCUCAAAGAGAUUGUCAUCAAUUACCAAAAUGGGGGAGAUUGUAAGAGCAUGUCCUUUACCCCAUGUGUGGUUUUGGUAAUUGAUGACAAUCCCUAUGGACUAAUGGUUGCAUUGAGAAUCAAUCUUAGGUCAAGUCCAUAGUCAUGUUGGACUCAAGGUUGUAAGAUGGAGAAGACGGAGUACAAUGAUGAAGAUGGUGUCGAAGAGAGACAAAGACGGUGUUGAAGAUGAAGAGAGAAGACGACGUAGAAGAUGAAGAGAGAAGACGGCGUUGAAGACGGUGGUGUGUGUACAAGAUGGAAGAAGACGGUGGCGUGUAUAUUGAAGGAAGACGGUGGCAUGAACAAUCAUGAAGAGUAUGGAGGCGGAGCUUGCCGACUCGAGAAGAACGUGCAAGGACUAGGUUUGUGCUCGAUAGGAUAGUGGGUCGUAUCAUCGGAGAGAGCUCAAACCUUGCAUGCAUUGCAUCGCGUUCUUGGUUCUUCUUGGUUCUUAUGCAUGAAACGGAUUUCCCGUUGCAUCGCAUGUUGCAUAUGCGAGAGUGAUGAUUUUCCCGAUAUACCAUAUUGAGAGGUUACACCUCUAUGACCAUGAGCAAAUCAUCACUCACUCAUUUGCAUGAUUUCACCUUGUAAAGAUGUAGCUCUUGUCGCCCUCUUUCCAACAAAACUGGUUUCAUGUCA